RNAcentral lists this ribosomal RNA (242 nucleotides) under uncultured Acanthamoeba. Its description in RNAcentral is "partial 18S ribosomal RNA". It matches the Rfam family "Eukaryotic small subunit ribosomal RNA", at positions 97 to 279 of the family's 1831-position model. The record is from RNAcentral. Lineage: Eukaryota; Discosea; Longamoebia; Acanthamoebidae.
CUCAUUAAAUCAGCUAUAGUUUAUUUGAUGGUCUCUUUUUGUCUUUUUUUUACCUACUUGGAUAACCGUGGUAAUUCGAGAGCUAAUACAUGCGCAAGGUCCCGAGCGCGGGGGGCAGGGCUUCACGGCCCUGUCCUCGCAUGCGCAGAGGGAUGUAUUUAUUAGGUUAGAAACCAGCGUAGUCAGCAAUGGCUACAAACUCCCCUGGUGAUUCAUAGUAACUCUUUCGGAUCGCAUUCAUG